AAAUUAAAAAAAAAUUAAAAAAAAUAAAACCGACACGUCAUCGUUUUUGAACAGUACCGGUUACCGUUUUGACUUGAUAUAAAAAUAAGCUAAGUUGGAGGUUUCUUUUGAUAAAAGUGUCACUUUAAAGGUUUAAAGUGCUUGUGAAAUACUCUUAGGGUUUAAAGUGUAAGUGACUGCCAUCUUGAAAGUUUUUUAUGCGAUUUUCCUAUAUAUCUAUACUAAUAAAGUUGCUCAGAAACUCUCCUCAGGCUUCCACCUCACCCUUCCAUAUCUUAAAACCCGCCACGUGUCGUCUCCUUUUCUUCUGCUCCGUGUUUUUUAAAAAACAACACUCUCUCCCGUGUUUUUUCUUUAAAAAGCGGAGCUCUUCUUUUUGGGCUUGCAAGUAUUUGUGUUUGGGCUUCUCUAAAAUUGGCCCAUCUUUUUAGGGUUUCACUGUGGGCCGUAGAAGUCGUUCCUUGCUGUCCUUCGAUUCUUCGCUGUUCUUCCGUUCUGUAACGGCGAGCGUUUCUGUUUCUCAUUUCUUUAAUCACAGCAUUAACCCCAGCCCCACUACUCUCCUCACUCUCUGUAAAUUAAACACCAUAAUUAUCAUGAAAUGACGAUGAAGGAGGAUGUGACAACAGAUAGCAGAGGCAAUUGCUUUUUGAGUUGAUUGUUAUCCUCUGAGAUAUGGAGCAAGUAUUCGUCGGGUCAAGGGUUUACCAUUAUCGGCUUUACUCAUUCCAAGAAGCGCUUUCAUGGCCGUUUCUUAAUGUUUGUUUGCUCUUACUCGAGACUGUGAGAUGCAGUGGGUUACCAGGUAUUUGGGAGUCAGUACUGUGACUUCGACAAAGGCACUCUCCGCUGCGAUAUUAAUAUCUCAGUCCGUCCUAUUACACAAGCGAAGUUUGGCAGCAAGGUGGAAAUGAAGAAUUUGAAGGAGUUUUCACCAAUUGACAGGGCCAAGCCAACCAGCUUAUGGGGAGAGAAGUAACUCAGACAGGAACAAUAAUGAAUACAUGAAUAUUGACGGAGAGGUGAGAAAGCUGACUAAUGCCCUGCAGAAGAUGUUGCACAACUUCUGGAGGAGUGAAGACCCGGACCGUAGACCCCUGCCACAGUGCAUACAUGACUUAGUUGGGAGCACUUCUACUUAUUGAAGCUUUCCCAUUCAACUGCUCCUCCAAGCAUCAGCCGUUCACCAUAUCUCGAAUCUUUGACCGCGACCAGUGUUCACCACUGCCAAACUUUGCUGUAAAUGGAGCGAUAACAACCCCGGAGAUGAUAUCUCUGGAACAGUAAGCAGUAGCAGUUACAACUUACCUUUACUGGUGAGUGUGUGACUAGGGGAGCCCCUGCUACAAAUGCUUGUGGGGUUAUGGAGGGAGCUUCUGCUGCUGCAGGUGUUUCGCAUGAUGAACCUGUCCAUGGUGUAAUAACUGCUGAUGGUCCACCACUCCGGAGGCUGAUCCAGCAAAGCUGAAGUUCCCAGCAUCGUGUGUCGCCAACUCAAGCGUCCACCACUGCUUGGAUUUUUGUCUUCAUUUGAGUAAAAAUAAAUUGUUUAAGAUCACGAUACUUAUUUCAAUGCUUUUGUUGUUGGUUUUUUUUUUUUACUUUUUCUUAGCAUUGUCAUCACAAAAACUUUGUAUCAGCAGUGGUUUUAAAAAAAAUAUUUAUUGCUCUUCAACAAACUACAUUCCUGUUUGCUUAAAAAGAAGCUAUAUUCCUGUUGCUAUUUGAGAGCUGGUCCUACCGCUUAAAUAAACAUAGUAGGUAGCUCCUCCUGAUUUUGCUUCCAUAUUUUACAGAAGUUGAUUUAGCAAACAAACCUUGACGAAAUGAAAUAAAUAUAUUGAUUGCCUCCAUGAGUUCUGGGUGAUUUAAACUGAGUUCUUCCGUACACAUUUAGACACUGGCAUAAUGCAGCGCUAUGGAUAAAAUCAUUUAACGUUCAAGGGUGUUGUCCUUACAGAACGUCACCGGCAAAUACUGUAUCAGCAGCAGCAUUGGUGAUUAGGAGGUUACGACCACUGACUCCCAUGCUCUAUAAAACUGAGCUUCGUUAGUUGCGUUUCCUGUUUUCCCACUGUAGGAACGUACAUCCGCAUUAGCAAGUUUGUGAAGGAUAAGAAGAUGAUGGCUCCCGACUGUCAGGUCCCAAAGAUGAUGGCUUCUUUGCGUCAAGUUUAUGUUAAAAACUUAAAAAUAUAAAUAACACGAAUAUACAAAAGUAGUUUGGUGCAAAAUCGAAAGAUCAUAAAUAAAGUAUCUUCUGCUAUUUGUCCAAGUAAUGCAAAGAAGAUAUAUUUUUUCCUUUUGUGUUGAGAGAACAUUUGACCUCAAAACGUUUAUAGCUUAUCGGAUUUUAACUGCGUCUACAGUUUAUAGAGAGUACGAGAAGUCACAGUCCUAUUCUAUGUUAGCCUCAACCGCAUUGUUUCACGGAAUCUCGAGUGGUGUCGCUGACCAAGAAUGACAUCACGCAUACAACGAUCAAUGGACUUGAAAAUCUGGGCAGUGGUGGAUGUCUCGAGUUCAUGAAUUUGUUUUUUUUUUGGCUAAAUAGUUCGUUCAUGAAUUCUUCUCAAGCGAGAUAUUAUAUAACUAUUGCCUGAACUGCCAAGCGUUUAAGGAUGAGAAACAAUGAAAAGACUUUGAUCUAUAUCAAACAUACAACUACACGGUUCACAAAAAGUAACCCUUCUGUUCAAACUCGCAAAACCCUACAAGUAUAGAACUACAUAGACCCAUACAUACUGACGCACAGAAAGCAAUAACAGAUCCAUAUAAUGUGAUUUCACAUUUCAUCAAACUCACACCAACGUAAAUAAAAAUAGGGUAAAUCUCACGAAAUAUUUACUAGAUCAGGGAACUAAAUUUACAAUAAAAUGAUGGACAACCACAACCAAAAAUUAAUACAUAAUAGAAUUUAAAAUAUAAUAAUUUUUAUAAGAAAAAUGUAAAUAAAAGAAAUAUUAAAAUUAAAAAUUUAGUUACAAUACAUAAUAUAAGUUGAAUAACAUAAAAAAAACUUUUUUAAUAAGGUGAAAAAACUUAGUAACAAAAAAAAAUAGUUUAAAAUACAUCAUAUAACUCAAUAAUUCAUUUUAUGAAUAAAUAUAAAUUUAAUAAAAGAAAAUGAGAAAGAAAAUAUACUUAUUAUGUUGCUUUUUCAGAUUUCAUAAAUAUAACAAGAUAAAUAAAAAGUGAAUUUAAUGAAACUUUUUUUUCUUCAUUUUGGUCACAAUAUUAAUACAUAGAAAACUUGAAAUAAUUAAGGAAAACAAUCAAAUAUUAAUAGAUAAUCAAAACACAGAUGAAUAAAAGUUAGGAACUAAUUUACGAUAUUGUGUUUUCAAAUUUCAUCAAACCAAAAUUAACAAAAAUAAAUAAUUUUGACAGAUUUUUUUUUGCUUUCUGAUCACUAAACUCAAACCAUCAAAAAUAAACAAGAAAUUGAUAAAAAAAUAACUUAACAAAAAAUACAUAAUCAAAAAUAAUAUUUAGAAAACAAUCAAAAACUUAAAGUAAACCUAUAGCAAAUACACAAUAAACAAAUGAACAUUUUUUUAAAAAAUAUUGUUCCAUUAUAUAAAGAACAGAUUAAAGUAAUUGUAUUCGAAUAAAUAUGUAAAAUAAAAAAAAUAUUUCUUGAAUUCUAAAAACCUUAUCCUAACAAAUCAAAUACUGAUAUGGUAAUUAUAUAUAAAUAUAGUGCAAGCAAGAAAUACAAUGUAAAAUAAUGGGAGAAGCAUAUUAAGAUUAUAAAUAAAACUAUGUCAACCAUGGUCUAAAAUAAAACAAAUAAAUCAAAUAAAUUACAUUGCUAAAAUAAAAAUAUCUUCACUAAAACUCUUUAAAUUAUGAAGUUUGGUUAACCUAAAUUAGAAUGAAGCUAACUAUCAUAACAUCAAAUAACUUCAACCUAAAAGAUGAUAAAAAUAAAAUAAAAAUGAAUCAAAAAGUAUACACAAUAUAUAAUUAAAUAGUAAAAAUAUAAAUAGCUAACAAAUAAAUAUUUUUUAAAGUCAAAUCCCCGCGCGAAGCGCGGACCAACCACUAGUCUAAUUAUAUAAAGUAAUGUGUGCUUCUCUCACAUGAAGCCACGUCACUAAGUCGGAUGUCCACAGCGCGACACCUGUCCCUUUUACAGAAACUCUGCUUUUCAUUUAACUUUAGGCGGAAAAACUUUGGGCUUUCUGGUGUUUUUAUAAUUACAGCCCAAAAUCAAUCAGACCUUUUGUCUUCAUCUCUUUACGCCGCUAGGGUUCGUGUUCUUCGAAUAAGCUAUCUCUAAGAAAAAUCAGAAGCGUUCCCACACACCUGGUGUUUUGAGGAAUUUUGCUGAAUGAAAUCGAGAUGAAGAAUCUCUUUGUUUAUCUCCACUCGCGUCGUGUACUCUUCUAUUCUACUAAACCGAAGCCGUCCCUUCUGAAGAACAAGAAGUAUUUUUCUCGACAAAUCUGACUCUGCAUUGUCUCGAUCGAUGUUCCAUCCCCUCGCUCCGAUACCGUCGUUUGUUGCAUUCAAAAAUACUCAUUUAGGCUAGCUUUUAACACCACUGACCCACGUCUCCCAGACCUAUAAAUAAGGGUUCUCGGUCUGCUAGAUUCACCAGAUUCUCCUUUUGGCAUCAUUGGAAUCCUUAGAAAAUCUCGCACCAGGAAUGGCUGUCCCAACGAUUUUACUCGCCAACUUCAAAGCUGGAAGCCAUUCCAACACCGUCAGAGUCCGAUUGUUUAGAUUCUGGGAAGUCUGAAACUUUAAGAAAUGCGGCAAACUCAUGGCUUAAGUGUCUCAUGGGUGUCGACAUGCUCCUCAGGUCCUGUUAACACACACUGGUUAACGCUUUCAAACAGGAAGGCUCAUUUAUAAACCAUUAUAAACCAUUACUUUCAUUAUAAACAUUUGGAUUUGGAUGAUGUUGAGGUCAAACUUGGAGAGCUAGAAGAUUUUGAAAUCAAUGCUAUUAAUGACAAGCUGCAUCGCUCUUACAAUGUAACUUAUGGAGUACAAGCUCCUUCUUGACAAGGCUGGUGAUCUUUUUGCUUCAGCCUUUAAAAGUGUUACCACUCAACAGAGGUAGAUAGAAUCAUAACAAGUGGGUGAAGACGACCUCGAGGCUCUUUCUGUAGGAAGUACGAGACUUGCGACCGUUUUACCUUUUUAAGUUGUGUUUUCUGCAAAUGGCGUACAAGCUGUCCUUCCUAACAUGAGAAUUCUAUUGAUCCAACAAAGCAAGUAAAGCUUGGAUUCGGUACUAGGCUGGAGCCUCGCAAAAAGUCUAUGGUGUUCAAGAGGAUCAUAUUUUGUUCAACUAGGGCAACAUCUUAAUACAACAGUUUUUCAUUGAGGAGUUUGUUGUUGAUCCCAACUCUGGGGAGAAGGUUAACUUCUUAUUUUCUACUCUUAGCUUUUUACACAUUAAAAGUGCAGCCUUUUUCUAUUUGCAGGAGUUUUACUGCUUUCUUAAUGUAUAUUUUUUUCUCCCCAUAGGCUCAUGCAAGUAUAAAUUCUAUAUGUAGUUUAUACGUUCUCAUCUGCAUAUGUUUAUAUUUGAUGUUGGUACUGCCUCCAUGGUUAUUAUAUUUUGUUUUGUUGA
Brassica napus (rape) is the source of this 5590-nucleotide long non-coding RNA. RefSeq lists it as uncharacterized. The transcript is spliced from 8 exons. The record is from RefSeq and is a predicted model, not a curated record. NCBI's taxonomy places the organism in Eukaryota, Viridiplantae, Streptophyta, Magnoliopsida, Brassicales, Brassicaceae.